RNAcentral lists this ribosomal RNA (112 nucleotides) under Escherichia coli. The record is from RNAcentral. Lineage: Bacteria; Pseudomonadati; Pseudomonadota; Gammaproteobacteria; Enterobacterales; Enterobacteriaceae. RNAcentral also lists the same sequence under 1 other name.
CCUGGCGGCCUUAGCGCGGUGGUCCCACCUGACCCCAUGCCGAACUCAGAAGUGAAACGCCGUAGCGCCGAUGGUAGUGUGGGGUCUCCCCAUGCGAGAGUAGGGAACUGCC